CAACGAAUAUUCCGCAAUGGGCGCAAGCCUGACGGAGCGACGCCGCGUGAAGGAUGAGGUCUUUCGGGAUGUAAACUUCAAUAGUUGGCUGGAAAGCAAUUCGGGCGAACAGUCCGGAAAGUUGAUCGGCCAACGAAAGGGGUGGCUAACUCCGUGCCAGCAGCCGCGGUAAGACGGAGACCCCUAGCGUUGUUCGGAAUUACUGGGCUUAAAGGGCGUGUAGGCGGAGCGGUAAGUACCUUGUGAAAUCCCCGGGCUCAACCCGGGAAUGGCUUGGUAUACUGCCGUUCUUGAGGCAGGUAGGGGUCACUGGAACCUUAGGUGGAGCGGUGAAAUGCGUAGAUAUCUAAGGGAACGCCUGUGGCGAAAGCGGGUGACUGGGCCUGUCCUGACGCUGAGACGCGAAAGCGUAGGGAGCAAACG
RNAcentral lists this ribosomal RNA (423 nucleotides) under uncultured prokaryote. RNAcentral's name for it is "bacterial SSU rRNA". It matches the Rfam family "Bacterial small subunit ribosomal RNA", at positions 355 to 774 of the family's 1533-position model. The record is from RNAcentral.